GAUGAAGAACGUAGCGAAAUGCGAUAAGUAAUGUGAAUUGCAGAAUUCAGUGAAUCAUCGAAUCUUUGAACGCGCAUUGCGGCCGCCAGUAUUCUGGCGGGCAUGCCUGUUCGAGCGUCAUUACAACCCUCAGGCCCCCGGGCCUGGCGUUGGGGAUCGGCAGAAGCCCCCUGUGGGCACACGCCGUCCCUCAAAUACAGUGGCGGUCCCGCCGCAGCUUCCAUUGCGUAGUAGCUAACACCUCGCAACUGGAGAGCGGCGCGGCCAUGCCGUAAAACACCCAACUUCUGAAUGUUGACCUCGAAUCAGGUAGGAAUACCCGCUGAACUUAAGCAUAUCAAUAAGCGGAGGA
Molecule: unclassified non-coding RNA, 352 nt
Filed under: soil metagenome
Description: partial contains 5.8S ribosomal RNA, internal transcribed spacer 2, and large subunit ribosomal RNA
Rfam family: 5.8S ribosomal RNA (bases 1-120)
Source: RNAcentral